Molecule: ribosomal RNA, 430 nt
Filed under: uncultured bacterium
Lineage: Bacteria
Description: bacterial SSU rRNA
Rfam family: Bacterial small subunit ribosomal RNA
Source: RNAcentral
AACGCGAAGAACCUUACCUACACUUGACAUGUCUGGAAUCCUGAAGAGAUUUGGGAGUGCCCGAAAGGGAAUCAGAACACAGGUGCUGCAUGGCUGUCGUCAGCUCGUGUCGUGAGAUGUUGGGUUAAGUCCCGCAACGAGCGCAACCCUUGUCAUUAGUUGCUACGCAAGAGCACUCUAAUGAGACUGCCAGUGACAAACCGGAGGAAGGUGGGGAUGACGUCAAGUCCUCAUGGCCCUUAUGUGUAGGGCUUCACACGUCAUACAAUGGUCGGUACAGAGGGUUGCCAACCCGUGAGGGGGCGCUAAUCCCAGAAAGCCGAUCGUAGUCCGGAUCGCAGUCUGCAACUCGACUGCGUGAAGUCGGAAUCGCUAGUAAUCGCGGAUCAGCAUGUCGCGGUGAAUACGUUCCCGGGUCUUGUACACACCG